RNAcentral lists this long non-coding RNA (514 nucleotides) under Coturnix japonica (Japanese quail). RNAcentral's name for it is "lncRNA (ENSCJPG00005003420.1)". The record is from RNAcentral. Lineage: Eukaryota; Metazoa; Chordata; Aves; Galliformes; Phasianidae.
UCUUUUUUGUUUGUUUUUCUCCUUAGUCCUGACACAGUGAUCACUAUCAAAAUUAUAAUUGUUGUCUUUUCAGUUUUCCAGCUGGUGCUGCAUCUUUGAAUACCUGUUUGCACUGGGAGGCAACUAGANCCUGCCAAAAUUUCAGAACUCUGCAUCUUCUCCUUGAGGGCAGACCACUCUCCUAGUGGCCUCCAAAAGCCUAUUUCAGGAUCAAAUCCUUGUAAUGCACUUUGCUAUGCUGUGAAAUAAGAAGACAUGUUUUUUCUCUUCCCCCUCUCCAGAAUUCCUGUCCUUCUCUACCUUUUAGAGUAAGCAGAUCUGCUGCCCAGAAGCAUGUAGGCCUACCUCACAGCACUCACUGUGGGGGGGAAAGCCGCUGCCCUUUGUCUUCCAGCUCCACCCUGAUGUGAGAAACACGUCUUUGGUGACACUGGUCUGCUUCAAAACGCAGGUACACAUUAUCUUGUGGGCAGGUGGCACAAUUUCCAGAAUGUAGCAUAACAUUAAGAAAUGG